Molecule: long non-coding RNA, 2341 nt
Filed under: Homo sapiens (human)
Lineage: Eukaryota; Metazoa; Chordata; Mammalia; Primates; Hominidae
Description: HSALNT0199863
Source: RNAcentral
CUUUCCCUUUCCUCUUGUUUUCUAGGGCUUGCUACGUAGGCCAGAACUACACCAACACGCUUUGAUGCUGAAGCAGAAUUUGGUACAAGGUGGCUGUAAGUCAGAUCUCCUGCUAAUUGUGUGAAACUGUUUAUGUUGAUUCAUCUAAGCAGCUGGUCUUUUGAGAGAGAUGCAACAGACCAAAGAACAAAGACAGAAGCUUGAGAAGCCAUGUUAGGACUUGUUGCACAGCAUGGUGACUGCUAUGGAACAUUGGUAUGGAGUUUCAGGAGAAAUAAGGGUGAUAGGAUCCAGCUCCCCCCAGCAGAGUUCUUGGAUGUCAAGUCCUGAUAAAUCCCCGCCGCCUCCUGGGUCCAAGCUCGGGUACCACUAACUUGUCCCAAGAGAGUGGGGAGUGAGACCUGUAAGUCAACUAAUAUAAGGAGAGGAAACUGGGGGCUGAAGAAGUUAUCUCCCACCACCACCAACAACAAAAACCAGAACAAAUAGAAUUUGGACUAAGAUGCAAGUCUCCUGACUUUCAGGUCGAAUCUUUCUAUUGUGCUCUUCUACUUAAGAACAUCACUCUCAGCCCUCCAUUUCCACUGUGUAAAUGUAGGCUGUAUUAAGAGACCUUGAAUCUGUAAAAAAUGGUGCCACUUUGAUUUUAUUGUAACUGCCUUGGAAAUAGUCACACAUGUGUCCUAAAGGGGCUUUGUCUCUGUGUUCAGAGGACUCUGGGGUUUUCCUGAGUGCCAGCUGGUGAAAAUGCUUAUUUAGUCUACUCUUUGGGAGCAACGAACAAGGUGCAAAGGCUCCCAGUUUCUGUAGGAAAAUCGCUGGUGAAACAGACUUUCUUCCAGUCUCCUGUCUCUAAGUUGCCAAGGUUCACCUUCAAAGGGUGGCGUGUCAAGUUUUGUGAACUAAUUGCUUUAGCUUUGAGGUGCUGAGGCUUGUUAAAAAUUCUUACUCCUUAUUGAUUCCCUGUGGCUUUUCAAAAAGAAAGGACACUUUUCAUCCAGCAUGUGAAGAACCUGUGAUACAAUAUCAUCAGGAGUUGAAGGCAAUCAAAGUACAGAUUUCAAAACCCAUUGCUGCAAAAUGUUUACUUGUCAGAUCUCAUUUGUUGACAGUGUUGAAACGUGUGUAACUUCUUGCUAGGCAGACUUUUAAAAUGUGAGGACAUGGCAGUAAUGAAGAAAAUUUGUACGGUGGGUGAACUGUGAGCUGGAGUGUUUGAGUUUGACCUGGUAAAGUCAACACAAUGCCGGCAUUAGUAUUCAGAUGAAAUCUCAGCUCCUGUGAACAAGCUGCCAUGCGGUCAAUUUGUCAAGAUAAAACUUCAGAGCCUUGUUCUGUGUCUCUUCUCUUUAAUAACCAGAACUUCCAAGACAACGUAAGAGGCAAUUUCAAGGAUAUUGACGACAAUCUUCUUUCUGAAAGGGUUGCACUGAAUAUACUGGCAAAGUGCUUAGUCAAGCACUUUAUAAUUUACAAAGUGUCCUCUCCGAAUUUUGCUGUUUGGUCUGCACAAUCAUUUCUUGGAGUUGAGAACAUUUUUCAACAAUGUUGGAUACUAAUUAUUCUACUGAUUAUUAAGUACUUCAUGCAUGGAAAGCACACAGAAAAACUUUUGAUUGUUUGAUUGGCUAAAAACAAGGCAACCUAAGCUUUGGUAAAGUCUGGUUGUCCUUCAUUCUGUGAACUUACUCGUUGAUCAUUUAGUUAAAUUACCAUCUGAUCCCCAUGUUCUCAGCUACAUUUGUAAAGAGUAAAUGCUGGGCCAGGCGUGGUGGCACACCUGUAAUCCCAGCACUGCAGGAGGCCGAGGUGGGAGGAUCACUUGAGGUCGGGAGUUUGAGACCAGCCUGGCCAACAUUGUGAAACCUCGUCUCUACGAAAAUUACAAAAAUUAGCCAGGUGUAGUGGCGCACACCUGUAAUCCCAGCUACUUGGGAGGCUGAGACAGGAGAAUCGCUUGAACCCAGGAGGCAGAGGUUGCAGUGAGCUGAGAUCGCAUCACUGCACUCCAGCCUAGGCGACAGAGCCAGACUCCAUCUCAAAAAAAAGGAGUAAAUGCCUAUUGCACUAGAGCUGGCUUUAGAGAGGUAAGGUGUUGACCCUAAGUAGUGGUUAAGGGGCACGAUCAACUCAAGAUAACCCUUCAUGGGUGACAAUAAAAUCAUUAUACCUUUGUCUUUCUGUAAAUUCACAUUUUUAUCUCAGUCUUCAUUACCCUAGCAGAGAAUUUGUCAAAGUGUAUUCCAAAGAGCUUUAUGGAUGUCAAUGGGUAUGACUUGUUUUUUAAAAUAAAAUUAAGAUAUCAAUAAGUAUGAUUUGCUUUUUAAAAUAAAAUAAGGUU